ACCAUUGGCUGUCAGGCGUGUCCUGAUGACCAAACAGAGCAGAGCAGGUGUGACUCCUCAUUGUCCUGGGGAGAGGUAUAUAUACAGAGGGCAGCCCUGGCAGACAGGUAGACAACUGAGUGGCUUCAACAUGGCAAAAGUGACCGAUAAAUCUUGGGAGCCAAAAACUACAAGCACCAAGCGGUGGAAGAAAAGGAAGGCCCUCUCUCAGCCUGGAUCAGGAGGCAAGGUGGUGAAGAUAUAUAAGAAGGUAAAAAGACCACUUCAUGUGUGUUCAAGAAAAAAGUACUCCUCAAAAGUUAUAACUAUGAGAAGACAAAAGAGAACAAGAAGGGCCAAGCUUCAGCCAGUCCCAUAGACUGAGAGCCAAAAGCAGCCAGGCCAGGCCUAACAGCCCCUGUAGAACGACACCACUCUGAGAUAAGACCUAAGCAAACAGCGCCUGCAGAGCAAGCUUCAGAGACCUGAGAACAACCUGCUACAUCUAGAGUCCUGGCUGCGGAGAAAUGGCCAACUGCGUAGACACUGACGUGAAACAUGGGACACAAAUGCUGGUUAUUAAAAUCAGCAGGGUGUGAGAAGCCCCUCAAAAAAAGGCAAUAAAAGCAGGCACUCUGCACAGAAAUGA
Odocoileus virginianus texanus is the source of this 628-nucleotide long non-coding RNA. RefSeq lists it as uncharacterized. NCBI's taxonomy places the organism in Eukaryota, Metazoa, Chordata, Mammalia, Artiodactyla, Cervidae. The record is from RefSeq and is a predicted model, not a curated record.